GUGGCCGCCGCGGGGGCGGCGACGCUUGGCGCCUUUGCCGAAGGCGCGUUGCUGCUGUUCCUGUUCAGCCUCGGCCACGC
RNAcentral lists this transfer RNA (80 nucleotides) under Pseudomonas aeruginosa. Its description in RNAcentral is "tRNA-Gly". RNAcentral also lists the same sequence under 1 other name. Lineage: Bacteria; Pseudomonadati; Pseudomonadota; Gammaproteobacteria; Pseudomonadales; Pseudomonadaceae. The record is from RNAcentral.